Small nuclear RNA from Neotoma lepida (desert woodrat), 107 nucleotides. The record is from Rfam. NCBI's taxonomy places the organism in Eukaryota, Metazoa, Chordata, Mammalia, Rodentia, Cricetidae.
GUGCUGGCUCUGGCAGCACAUACACUAAAAUUGGAAUAAUACAAAGAAGAUUAGCAUGGCCCCUGUGCAAGGAUGCCAUGCAAAUUUGUGUAGUGUGCCAUAUUUUU